CCACAGGCCGCUCUAGACACUGGCCACCUUCUUGCUGUGACACCUGCCUCCAGGACAAGGCAGCUGUGCCUUUACUUUCCUCACUUGUCCCGAGGACCUAUUCGGAGACGCUCAGGACCCUUGUCAGGACUUUAGGGAAGCAAGCAGCAGCGUAAUAAACUGGAAAAACACUUUGGGGAAGGAUGAGACAUGUGAGAGCCAACCACAAGGAGCUCUGAGAGUUGUGGGUUCGGAACCUCAGGGAAUGAGGCCUCUGAUGACACGGGAGUAUAGAAUGGGCAGUGCGGCCGACCCAGCCAGCUGUCCCAGCGCUCUUCUCCACAGAUCUGAAUCAAGGCCGAUAAGCCACAAAGUCCUACUCUGCAGCUCCUCCGGAAUUGACCUUGUCCCUGGUCACCUGCCACCACCCUCUCCCUGGACCGUUCUAGAACUAACACAGUCAGGAUGCUGCCGUUCACAUGGAGCUCCUUCCGAAC
Molecule: long non-coding RNA, 476 nt
Organism: Leopardus geoffroyi (Geoffroy's cat)
Lineage: Eukaryota; Metazoa; Chordata; Mammalia; Carnivora; Felidae
Exons: 3
Source: RefSeq, a predicted model, not a curated record